GACGAACGCUGGCGGCGUGCCUAAUACAUGCAAGUCGAGCGAAGUUUUUCUGGUGCUUGCACCGGAAAAACUUAGCGGCGAACGGGUGAGUAACACGUAAAGAACCUGCCUCAUAGACUGGGACCACUAUUGGAAACGAUAGCUAAUACCGGAUAAUAGCAUUAACUGCAUGGUUGAUGUUUAAAAGUUGGUUUUGCUAACACUAUGAGAUGGCUUUGCGGUGCAUUAGCUAGUUGGUGGGGUAAAGGCCUACCAAGGCGACGAUGCAUAGCCGACCUGAGAGGGUGAUCGGCCACACUGGGACUGAGACACGGCCCAGACUCCUACGGGAGGCAGCAGUAGGGAAUCUUCCGCAAUGGGCGAAAGCCUGACGGAGCAACGCCGCGUGAGUGAAGAAGGAUUUCGGUUCGUAAAGCUCUGUUGUUAGGGAAGAAUGAUUGUGUAGUAACUAUACACAGUAGAGACGGUACCUAACCAGAAAGCCACGGCUAACUACGUG
Molecule: ribosomal RNA, 499 nt
Filed under: uncultured bacterium
Lineage: Bacteria
Description: partial 16S ribosomal RNA
Rfam family: Bacterial small subunit ribosomal RNA
Source: RNAcentral